RNAcentral lists this ribosomal RNA (425 nucleotides) under uncultured bacterium. RNAcentral's name for it is "bacterial SSU rRNA". It matches the Rfam family "Bacterial small subunit ribosomal RNA", at positions 356 to 773 of the family's 1533-position model. The record is from RNAcentral.
GGGGAAUUUUGGACAAUGGGCGCAAGCCUGAUCCAGCCAUGCCGCGUGCGGGAAGAAGGCCUUCGGGUUGUAAACCGCUUUUGUCAGGGAAGAAACGCUCCGAGCUAAUACCUCGGAGUAAUGACGGUACCUGAAGAAUAAGCACCGGCUAACUACGUGCCCGCAGCCGCGGUAAUACGUAGGGUGCAAGCGUUAAUCGGAAUUACUGGGCGUAAAGCGUGCGCAGGCGGUGAUGUAAGACAGAUGUGAAAUCCCCGGGCUCAACCUGGGAACUGCAUUUGUGACUGCAGCGCUGGAGUGCGGCAGAGGGGGAUGGAAUUCCGCGUGUAGCAGUGAAAUGCGUAGAUAUGCGGAGGAACACCGAUGGCGAAGGCAAUCCCCUGGGCCUGCACUGACGCUCAUGCACGAAAGCGUGGGGAGCAAAC